GGGGAAGGCUUUCCGAGGAAACGAAAGCGAAAUUGAACCGGAGCCAUCUUGGGCCCGGCGCGCAGACCCGCGGAGUUUCCCGUGCCGACGCCCCGGGGCCACUUCCAGUGCGGAGUAGCGGAGGCGUGGGGGCCUCGAGGGGCUGGCGCGGCCCAGCGGUCGGGCCAGGGUCGUGCCGCCGGCGGGUCGGGCCGGGCCGGGCAAUGCCUCGCGGGCGCAAUGAAUCCGCGGCAGGGGUAUUCCCUCAACGGAUACUACACCCAUCCAUUUCAAGGCUAUGAGCACAGACAGCUCAGAUACCAGCAGCCUGGGCCAGGAUCUUCCCCCAGUAGUUUCCUGCUUAAGCAAAUAGAAUUUCUCAAGGGGCAGCUCCCAGAAGCGCCGGUGAUUGGAAAGCAGACACCGUCACUGCCACCUUCCCUCCCAGGACUCCGGCCAAGGUUUCCAGUACUACUUGCCUCCAGUACCAGAGGCAGGCAAGUGGACAUCAGGGGUGUCCCCAGGGGCGUGCAUCUCGGAAGUCAGGGGCUCCAGAGAGGGUUCCAGCAUCCUUCACCACGUGGCAGGAGUCUGCCACAGAGAGGUGUUGAUUGCCUUUCCUCACAUUUCCAGGAACUGAGUAUCUACCAAGAUCAGGAACAAAGGAUCUUAAAGUUCCUGGAAGAGCUUGGGGAAGGGAAGGCCACCACAGCACAUGAUCUGUCUGGGAAACUUGGGACUCCGAAGAAAGAAAUCAAUCGAGUUUUAUACUCCCUGGCAAAGAAGGGCAAGCUACAGAAAGAGGCAGGAACACCCCCUUUGUGGAAAAUCGCGGUCUCCACUCAGGCUUGGAACCAGCACAGCGGAGUGGUAAGACCAGAUGGUCAUAGCCAAGGAGCCCCAAACUCAGACCCGAGUUUGGAACCGGAAGACAGAAACUCCACAUCUGUCUCAGAAGAUCUUCUUGAGCCUUUUAUUGCAGUCUCAGCUCAGGCUUGGAACGAGCACAGCGGAGUGGUAAGACCAGACGGUCAUAGCCAAGGCUCCCCAAACUCAGACCCAGGUUUGGAACCUGAAGACAGCAACUCCACAUCUGCCUUGGAAGAUCCUCUUGAGUUUUUAGACAUGGCCGAGAUCAAGGAGAAAAUCUGCGACUAUCUCUUCAAUGUGUCUGACUCCUCUGCCCUGAAUUUGGCUAAAAAUAUUGGCCUUACCAAGGCCCGAGAUAUAAAUGCCGUGCUAAUUGACAUGGAAAGGCAGGGGGAUGUCUAUAGACAAGGGACAACCCCUCCCAUAUGGCAUUUGACAGACAAGAAGCGAGAGAGGAUGCAAAUCAAGAGAAAUACGAACAGUGUUCCUGAAACCGCUCCAGCUGCAAUCCCUGAGACCAAAAGAAACGCAGAGUUCCUCACCUGUAAUAUACCCACAUCAAAUGCCUCAAAUAACAUGGUAACCACAGAAAAAGUGGAGAAUGGGCAGGAACCUGUCAUAAAGUUAGAAAACAGGCAAGAGGCCAGACCAGAACCAGUAAGACUGAAACCACCUGUUCAUUACAAUGGCCCCUCAAAAGCAGGGUAUGUUGACUUUGAAAAUGGCCAGUGGGCCACAGAUGACAUCCCAGAUGACUUGAAUAGUAUCCGCGCAGCACCAGGUGAGUUUCGAGCCAUCAUGGAGAUGCCCUCCUUCUACAGUCAUGGCUUGCCACGGUGUUCACCCUACAAGAAACUGACAGAGUGCCAGCUGAAGAACCCCAUCAGCGGGCUGUUAGAAUAUGCCCAGUUCGCUAGUCAAACCUGUGAGUUCAACAUGAUAGAGCAGAGUGGACCACCCCAUGAACCUCGAUUUAAAUUCCAGGUUGUCAUCAAUGGCCGAGAGUUUCCCCCAGCUGAAGCUGGAAGCAAGAAAGUGGCCAAGCAGGAUGCAGCUAUGAAAGCCAUGACAAUUCUGCUAGAGGAAGCCAAAGCCAAGGACAGUGGAAAAUCAGAAGAAUCAUCCCACUAUUCCACAGAGAAAGAAUCAGAGAAGACUGCAGAGUCCCAGACCCCCACCCCUUCAGCCACAUCCUUCUUUUCUGGGAAGAGCCCCGUCACCACACUGCUUGAGUGUAUGCACAAAUUGGGGAACUCCUGCGAAUUCCGUCUCCUGUCCAAAGAAGGCCCUGCCCAUGAACCCAAGUUCCAAUACUGUGUUGCAGUGGGAGCCCAAACUUUCCCCAGUGUGAGUGCUCCCAGCAAGAAAGUGGCAAAGCAGAUGGCCGCAGAGGAAGCCAUGAAGGCCCUGCAUGGGGAGGCGACCAACUCCAUGGCUUCUGAUAACCAGCCUGAAGGUAUGAUCUCAGAGUCACUUGAUAACUUGGAAUCCAUGAUGCCCAACAAGGUCAGGAAGAUUGGCGAGCUCGUCAGAUACCUGAACACCAACCCUGUGGGUGGCCUUUUGGAGUACGCCCGCUCCCAUGGCUUUGCUGCUGAAUUCAAGUUGGUCGACCAGUCCGGACCUCCUCACGAGCCCAAGUUCGUUUACCAAGCAAAAGUUGGGGGUCGCUGGUUCCCAGCCGUCUGCGCACACAGCAAGAAGCAAGGCAAGCAGGAAGCAGCAGAUGCGGCUCUCCGUGUCUUGAUUGGGGAGAAUGAGAAGGCAGAACGCAUGGGUUUCACAGAGGUAACCCCAGUGACAGGGGCCAGUCUCAGAAGAACUAUGCUCCUCCUCUCAAGGUCCCCAGAAGCACAGCCAAAGACACUCCCUCUCACUGGCAGCACCUUCCAUGACCAGAUAGCCAUGCUGAGCCACCGGUGCUUCAACACUCUGACUAACAGCUUCCAGCCCUCCUUGCUCGGCCGCAAGAUUCUGGCCGCCAUCAUUAUGAAAAAAGACUCUGAGGACAUGGGUGUCGUCGUCAGCUUGGGAACAGGGAAUCGCUGUGUGAAAGGAGAUUCUCUCAGCCUAAAAGGAGAAACUGUCAAUGACUGCCAUGCAGAAAUAAUCUCCCGGAGAGGCUUCAUCAGGUUUCUCUACAGUGAGUUAAUGAAAUACAACUCCCAGACUGCGAAGGAUAGUAUAUUUGAACCUGCUAAGGGAGGAGAAAAGCUCCAAAUAAAAAAGACUGUGUCAUUCCAUCUGUAUAUCAGCACUGCUCCAUGUGGAGAUGGCGCCCUCUUUGACAAGUCCUGCAGCGACCGUGCUAUGGAAAGCACAGAGUCCCGCCACUACCCUGUCUUCGAGAAUCCCAAACAAGGAAAGCUCCGCACCAAGGUGGAGAACGGGUCUUCGUGGCCAUGAGAAUGCAUAGGAUCACCUCAAGAAAGCGGGGAGGAAAUGAAGAGUGCGGCACAACCAAGCCCUGAGGAGUUGACAGAUGAGGAUGCCAAGUGCCGGGGUCCCCUCCUGUCUAGCUGGCAAUUGACUCUGCCUUGUCCACUGGCUCCUUCUCUCCUAUCCUCUCCUGUCUCCUUACUGUCUCUUCGCAUCCACUCCAUUGCAUUCAGGCCACGUCAGCAGUCAUCAUGGUGGUCCUGAAACCUUGCUAAAUACCCUAAAGUAUAGACACAGUUACCAUGGAGCCGGUGCUCCACUCCUAGGUAUAUGCUGCAGAGAGAUGGGAGAUCUGUGUCCACACGGAAACUAAUAUGUGAAUGUUCAUGGCAGCAUUACUCACAAGAGCCAAAAAAGUGGAAACAACCCAGACGUCCAUCAGCUGAUGGAUUCAUAAAUAAAACAUCAAAUAUAUCCAUAAAUUGAAUAUUAUUUUGGCGAUAAAAAGAAGUGAAGUGCUGAUACAUGCUUACAAUAUGGAUGCACUUGAAAACUUGAUGCCAAAUGAAAAAAGCCAGUCACAAAAGAUCACAUAUUGUAUGAUUCCAUUUAUAUGAAAUGUCCAGAAUAGACAAAUCCAUAGAGACAGAAAGUAGAUGAGUGGUUGCCAGGGCCAGGAGUGGGAGAGUUGGAGAGAUGAGGAGUGACUGCGCCAAUGGGUAGAAGGUUUCUUUUUGGAGCGAUGAAAUGUUCUAAAAUUGACUGUGGUGACAGUUGCAGAACUCUGUGAAUAUACUAAAAAUGACUGAAUUGUAUGCUUUAAAUGGGUGAACUGUAUGGCAUAUGAACUAUAUCUCAGUAAAGCAUUUUUUUGUUGUUUUUUUUUAAACCCGAUAGUGGUUUCCCACUGCACUGCAUAUACAAGCAAAACCUGCUGUGAUCACCCGGCCUCCUCUCAUGCCACUUUCCCCAUCCCUCGCAUAUGCUCUGUCCACACUGGCUCUCUGUCAGGCCCCUGAACAGCCAAUCCGCUGGCUGCCUUGGGGCCUUUGCUUUUGUCCUGUGUGCCUGAAACACUUACUCCAGCUGUCCUCCUCCAUGUCUGGGCUCCCCUGCUGCUGCUGUCCCAGGAGGUGUCCCCUGUGGUCCUCCGUCAUAGCUGCCUCAGAGCCUUCAGAGCACUGUCAGCAUCUGGAAUUCUUCCGUAUGUACUGGCUACUGGUUUAGUGUCUAUUCUCUUCCCUUUCAAUCUCCUCACCACCAUAGAUGUUUUAAGAGGACAAAGAUCUUACUUGGUUUUGCUCACCGUUCUUUCCCAGCACCAAGCAUAGUGCCUGGCGCAUAGCAGGGGCUGUGAAAUAUGUGAAGAAUGAAUGAAUGUAGCCUGUGGCCCAAGCUUAAGGAGGAUAAAAACCACGCCAGGGAGUGCUUUGGUCCAUUGGCGCCUGUGGGUCUGACCCAAGUCUCUCACACAGGAGAAGGCACAAUCCCUGUGGAAUCCAGUGACAUUGUGCCUACGUGGGAUGGCAUUCGGCUCGGGGAGAGACUCCGUACCAUGUCCUGUAGUGACAAAAUCCUACGCUGGAACGUGCUGGGCCUGCAAGGGGCACUGUUGACCCACUUCCUGCAGCCCAUUUAUCUCAAAUCUGUCACAUUGGGUUACCUUUUCAGCCAAGGGCAUCUGACCCGUGCUAUUUGCUGUCGUGUGACAAGAGAUGGGAGUGCAUUUGAGGAUGGACUACGACAUCCCUUUAUUGUCAACCACCCCAAGGUUGGCAGAGUCAGCGUAUAUGAUUCCAAAAGGCAAUCCGGGAAGACUAAGGAGACAAGCGUCAACUGGUGUCUGGCUGAUGGCUAUGACCUGGAGAUCCUGGACGGUACCAGAGGCACUGUGGAUGGGCCACGGAAUGAAUUGUCCCGGGUCUCCAAAAAGAACAUUUUUCUUCUAUUUAAGAAGCUCUGCUCCUUCCGUUACCGCAGGGAUCUACUGAGACUCUCCUAUGGUGAGGCCAAGAAAGCUGCCCGUGACUACGAGACGGCCAAGAACUACUUCAAAAAAGGCCUGAAGGAUAUGGGCUAUGGGAACUGGAUUAGCAAACCCCAGGAGGAAAAGAACUUUUAUCUCUGCCCAGUAUAGUAUGCUCCAGUGACAGAUGGAUUAGGGUGUGUCAUACUAGGGUGUGAGAGAGGUAGGUCGUAGCAUUCCUCAUCACAUGGUCAGGGGAUUUUUUUUUCUCCUUUUUUUUUCUUUUUAAGCCAUAAUUGGUGAUACUGAAAACUUUGGGUUCCCAUUUAUCCUGCUUUCUUUGGGAUUGCUAGGCAAGGUCUGGCCAGGCCCCCCUUUUUUCCCCCAAGUGAAGAGGCAGAAACCUAAGAAGUUAUCUUUUCUUUCUACCCAAAGCAUACAUAGUCACUGAGCACCUGCGGUCCAUUUCCUCUUAAAAGUUUUGUUUUGAUUUGUUUCCAUUUCCUUUCCCUUUGUGUUUGCUACACUGACCUCUUGCGGUCUUGAUUAGGUUUCAGUCAACUCUGGAUCAUGUCAGGGACUGAUAAUUUCAUUUGUGGAUUACGCAGACCCCUCUACUUCCCCUCUUUCCCUUCUGAGAUUCUUUCCUUGUGAUCAGAAUGUCUCCUUUUCCCCCUCAGAGGGCAAAGAGGUGAACAUAAAGGAUUUGGUGAAACAUUUGUAAGGGUAGGAGUUGAAAACUGCAGUUCCCAGUGCCACGGAAGUGUGAUUGGAGCCUGCAGAUAAUGCCCAGCCAUCCUCCCAUCCUGCACUUUAGCCAGCUGCAGGGCGGGCAAGGCAAGGAAAGCUGCUUCCCUGGAAGUGUAUCCCUUUCCCCGGCAGCUGGGAAGUCUAGAACCAGCCAGACUGGGUUAAGGGAGUUGCUCAAGCAAUAGCAGAGGUUUCACCCGGCAGGAUGACACAGACCACUUCCCAGGGAGCACAGGCAUACCUUGGAAUAUUGCCAAGCUUCCAGCUGCCUCUUCUCCUAAAGCAUUCCUAGGAAUUUUCCCCGCCAAUGCUGGGCGUACACCCUAGCCAACUGGUAGGAAAAAAUCCAGGACAAAUCCUAGAGGGUAUAAAAUCAUCUCUGCUCAGAUAAUCAUGACUUAGCAAGAAUAAGGGCAAAAAAUCCUGUUGGCUUACGUCACUGUUCCACCCGGUGUAAUAUCUCUCAUGACAGUGACACCAAGGGAAGUUGACUAAGUCACAUGUAAAUUAGGAGUGUUUUAAAGAAUGCCAUAGAUGUUGAUUCUUAACUGCUACGGAUAACCUGUAAUUGAGCAGAUUUAAAAUUCAGGCAUACUUUUCCAUUUAUCCAAGUGCUUUCAUUUUUCCAGAUGGCUUCAGAAGUAGGCUCGUGGGCAGGGCGCAGACCUGAUCUUUAUAGGGUUGACAUAGAAAGCAGUAGUUGUGGGUGAAAGGGCAGGUUGUCUUCAAACUCUGUGAGGUAGAAUCCUUUGUCUAUACCUCCAUGAACAUUGACUCGUGUGUUCAGAGCCUUUGGCCUCUCUGUGGAGUUUGGCUCUCUGGCUCCUGUGCAUUCUUUGAAUAGUCACUCGUAAAAACCGUCAGUGCUUGAAACUGUUUCCUUUACUCAUGUUGAAGGGACUUUGUUGGCUUUUAGAGUGUUGGUCAUGACUCCAAGAGCAGAGCAGGGAAGAGCCCAAGCAUAGACUUGGUGCCGUGGUGAUGGCUGCAGUCCAGUUUUGUGAUGCUGCUUUUACGUGUCCCUCGAUAACAGUCAGCUAGACACACUCAGGAGGACUACUGAGGCUCUGCGACCUUCAGGAGCUGAGCCUGCCUCUCUCCUUUAGAUGACAGACCUUCAUCUGGGAACGUGCUGAGCCAGCACCCUCAGAUGAUUUCCCUCCAAACUGCUGACUAGGUCAUCCUCUGUCUGGUAGAGAUAUUCACAUCUUUGCUUUUAUUCUAUACUCUCUGUACUUUUGACCAAAAAUUGACCAAAAUAAGAAAAUGCAAGUUCUAAAAAUAGACUAAGGAUGCCUUUGCAGAACACCAAAGCAUCCCAAGGAACUGGUAGGGAAGUGGCGCCUGUCUCCUGGGGUGGAAGAGGCCUGCUCCCUGGCUCUGGGUCUGCUGGGGGCACAGUAAAUCAGUCUUGGCACCCACAUCCAGGGCAGAGAGGUCUGUGGUUCUCAGCAUCAGAAGGCAGCGCAGCCCCUCUCCUCUUCAGGCUACAGGGUUGUCACCUGCUGAGUCCUCAGGUUGUUUGGCCUCUCUGGUCCAUCUUGGGCAUUAGGUUCUCCAGCAGAGCUCUGGCCAGCUGCCUCUUCUUUAACUGGGAACACAGGCUCUCACAAGAUCAGAACCCCCACUCACCCCCAAGAUCUUAUCUAGCAAGCCUGUAGUAUUCAGUUUCUGUUGUAGGAAGAGAGCGAGGCAUCCCUGAAUUCCACGCAUCUGCUGGAAAUGAGCCGUGUCAGAUCGCACAUCCCUGCGCCCCCAUGCCCCUCUGAGUCACACAGGACAGAGGAGGCAGAGCUUCUGCCCACUGUUAUCUUCACUUUCUUUGUCCAGUCUUUUGUUUUUAAUAAGCAGUGACCCUCCCUACUCUUCUUUUUAAUGAUUUUUGUAGUUGAUUUGUCUGAACUGUGGCUACUGUGCAUUCCUUGAAUAAUCACUUGUAAAAAUUGUCAGUGCUUGAAGCUGUUUCCUUUACUCACAUUGAAGGGACUUCGUUGGUUUUUUGGAGUCUUGGUUGUGACUCCAAGAGCAGAGUGAGGAAGACCCCCAAGCAUAGACUCGGGUACUGUGAUGAUGGCUGCAGUCCAGUUUUAUGAUUCUGCUUUUAUGUGUCCCUUGAUAACAGUGACUUAACAAUAUACAUUCCUCAUAAAUAAAAAAAAACAAGAAUCUGAA
Pan troglodytes (chimpanzee) is the source of this 8116-nucleotide RNA transcript. It is a transcript of the gene named adenosine deaminase RNA specific, with no coding region annotated. The transcript has 15 exons. Lineage: Eukaryota; Metazoa; Chordata; Mammalia; Primates; Hominidae. The record is from RefSeq and is a predicted model, not a curated record.